Molecule: transfer RNA, 87 nt
Filed under: bacterium
Lineage: Bacteria
Description: tRNA-Leu
Rfam family: tRNA
About the family: Transfer RNA (tRNA) molecules are approximately 80 nucleotides in length.
Source: RNAcentral
GCCGAAGUGGCGGAACUGGUAGACGCCAGGGAUUUAAAAUCCCUUGGGUGGUGUACACCCGUGCCGGUUCGAGCCCGGCCUUCGGCA